GGACGGUUGUGAGUGUGUGUGUUUGUGUUGGGGGAGCAUAUCCUUUGGAUGUGAACGGAGAAGUUGGGGCCUUGGUUGUCGCUGGCAGCUGAUUCAUGAGGGUAACCAUUUUAUCUUGUGAGGGCAGCCAUCUUCUAUCCCAAGGGCAGCCAUCUUCUAUCCCAAGGGCAGCCAUCUUCUAUCCUGAGGGAAGCUGGCCUGAGGAUGAAGCCAGAAUAUGGAGAAGAGGAGAAGGAGAUGGCUGAGAAGCAGAACGGAAACCUGAACUGCAUUUUUCUUAGAGCAAGAAUUACAUCAAUUCUUCAAGCCAAGUUGAGCACUGUUGGUUUCUGCUACUUGGAACUGAAUAAACUCUGACAGAUACUGUACAGGGAACAGUACUUGGGGAGCUCCACUUCAUCUGAGGCCUUCGUGAGUGGCUUGUGUCACAUUCCUGGCUGUUCAGGCAUCAGUCCUGGUUUCCUGGUGAGCUCUCUGCUGACUCCACCCAGAGCUCCCUUGCUUCCGUCUCUGCAGCAGCUACCUCCGUUCUCACACAUGGCUUCUUCUGAGUUUUCUUAUUUCAGCCAGUACCAUGGAACUCUCCUGACCUUGUGGGCUUUGGGCAGAAAUAACUCCACUCCCCACUUCUCUCCUAAAUUACUGGCAAUGGUGAUACUGACCAUGCAGGGAGAAACCUGAGCUGUUAAUGCUAGGAGCGUCAAGCUGUUGGUAGUGAAGCCAUCAUCCUCUCCAAGUUCCCAGGUAGGAAACAUUCCUCUCUUCUUGCUCUCCACCCAGUCAUAAGGUCUUGUCAAUAUUUUUCUUUGCACUGUGUUUUUGCACUAUGUCUUUCAGAUACUUCUUUGUGAAAAUGAUGCACCAGACUCUCAUUUGUCAUCACUGGGAUUACUGUGAUCUUGUCUUGAAUUUCUACGAGUUUCACAUCCACGGUGGUAACUUAACCUGUCACUGUCUUGUUGCCUACACCUGCAUUACCCAGAACUACAGCCCAGGCACAGGCCCCUUCCAGGAUUCAGGUGGUCUCCAGUGAGUGAAUCAAAUAUUUUUUGUGUGAAUCUGUUCCCCCUACCUCAUGGCUCUCAGCUGUAGACCUUCUUUCAUGUUUGGCAGGUAAAGCUGUGGGACCAGAGGUGGCUUCAUAGUGAUGCUAUUGAAACUGAGCUUUGCUUGCCUGGAUCCCCUCCUAAGAUCCCGGAGGGGCCCUAGCUUUGCGUUCACAUGGUCAUACAAAUUUGAAAAUUUGCUAAACUAGACCAGGUGUGGUGGCUUAUGCUUGUAAUCCUAGUGCUUUGGGAGGCUGAGAUGGGAGGAUCAUUUGAGGCCAGGAAUUCAAGGCCAGCCUGAGAAACAUAUUGAAACCUUGGCUCUAGAAAAUAUUAAACAAACAAACAAAAAAAUUAGCUAGACACGGUGGCACAUACCUGUAGUCCCAGCUACUUGGGAGUAUAAGGUGGGAAGAUGGCUUGAGGCCAGGAUUUCGUGGCUGCAGGGAUCCAGGAUCAUGCUUGCAUGGUCUUGGCUCACUGCAACCUCUGCGGUGCAGGUUCAAGCGAUUCUCUUUCCUCAGCCUCCCUAAUAACUGGGAUUACAGGCACCUGCCACCGUGCCUGGCUAAUUUUUGUAUUUUUAGUGG
RNAcentral lists this long non-coding RNA (1636 nucleotides) under Homo sapiens (human). RNAcentral describes it as "HSALNT0049007". Lineage: Eukaryota; Metazoa; Chordata; Mammalia; Primates; Hominidae. The record is from RNAcentral.